Artibeus jamaicensis (Jamaican fruit-eating bat) is the source of this 662-nucleotide long non-coding RNA. RefSeq lists it as uncharacterized. The record is from RefSeq and is a predicted model, not a curated record. Lineage: Eukaryota; Metazoa; Chordata; Mammalia; Chiroptera; Phyllostomidae. The transcript is spliced from 3 exons.
CUCUACCUUGGAUAGUUGAGGAUGGGGGCUUGGGUCUGGGCCUUGCACACGGCUGGAGGCCUGGCUGUCGUUCGAGUACGGCUUUUGCUAAGCGAGCCAAUUGCCUGCACUGAGGGGCAGGAGGGGUUUACGGCGCGGCACCGGAAGGGCGUUGUUAUCCUGGGGACUAGGAGUGGAAACUUUCCUCCCAGGAAAGGAAAAAACCCAGAGUGGACAAAGGACACCUCAUCGCUACUACCAUCACCACCUCAAAAGAAAAAAAUAAUUUUCUUGACAGGAUUAAGGUCACUCCCAGUCUAAACUGCACAACCUGCAUGAGAUUAAAAAUGGCCUCAAGCUCUGCUCUUUGCAACAACUCCCAUCAAAAAGUUGGGUCAAUUUCCCCACCUCUUCCAAGCUGGGCUUAUGACAUUUCUUAACCAAGAGAAUGCUCUGGAAAUGAGUUUCAAGCCUAACCAGCAGAGACAUUACAGCUUCCACGCACAUGCUGUUGGAGUGCUAAGGCCCAAGAUGAUAGACACCUGGAGAGACACCUGGCGGCCCAUGGAGCUGAUGUGAGGAACGUGAGGCCAUCUCAGACUGCCCAGCCAAUCCACAGAAUUGUGAAAAAUAAUGAAUCACUGUUCUUUGAAACUACCACCUUUGGGAUGAUUCAUUACACA